GCUAGGCAUGGUGGCGCAUGCCUGUAGUCCUAGCUACUCGGGAGGCUGAAGCAGGAGGAUUGCUUGAGCCCAAGAGGUCAAGGCUGCAGUGAGCCAUGAUGGCGCCACUGCACUCCAGCCUGGGCAACAGAGUGAGACUCUGUCUCAA
Molecule: signal recognition particle RNA, 148 nt
Filed under: Pongo abelii (Sumatran orangutan)
Lineage: Eukaryota; Metazoa; Chordata; Mammalia; Primates; Hominidae
Description: Metazoan signal recognition particle RNA (ENSPPYG00000037567.1)
Rfam family: Metazoan signal recognition particle RNA
About the family: The signal recognition particle (SRP) is a universally conserved ribonucleoprotein. It is involved in the co-translational targeting of proteins to membranes. The eukaryotic SRP consists of a 300-nucleotide 7S RNA and six proteins: SRPs 72, 68, 54, 19, 14, and 9.
Source: Rfam by way of RNAcentral